GUAGGUGGCAAGCGUUGUCCGGAAUUAUUGGGCGUAAAGCGCGCGCAGGCGGUCCUUUAAGUCUGAUGUGAAAACCCACGGCUCAACCGUGGAGGGUCAUUGGAAACUGGGGGACUUGAGUACAGAAGAGGAAAGCGGAAUUCCAAGUGUAGCGGUGAAAUGCGUAGAGAUUUGGAGGAACACCAGUGGCGAAGGCGGCUUUCUGGUCUGUAACUGACGCUGAGGCGCGAAAGCGUGGGGAGCAAACAGGAUUAGAUACCCUGGUAGUCCACGCCGUAAACGAUGAGUGCUAAGUGUUAGGGGGUUUCCGCCCCUUAGUGCUGCAGCUAACGCAUUAAGCACUCCGCCUGGGGAGUACGGCCGCAAGGCUG
RNAcentral lists this ribosomal RNA (371 nucleotides) under uncultured organism. RNAcentral describes it as "partial 16S ribosomal RNA". It matches the Rfam family "Bacterial small subunit ribosomal RNA", at positions 527 to 896 of the family's 1533-position model. The record is from RNAcentral.